AGAGAAACAAAAUUCACGUAAAACAAUCCAAAAGAAACACAAUUGAUAAUGUCCUCGCUGACGUUGAAACCAACGUUUCUGUUACAGGCAUAUGGUUCUUCGUCUUCGUCGUCUGCCGGAAGUCGACGGCUUUGUUCUCUGAUUAGCUUCCAGAAGAAAACAUUUCGCAAACAAAAAUUCACUCUGAGAGCUCAAUCCCUCGAUUCACCGCAAAAUAACAACGAAAACGAUACCAAACCUCCAAAUGGCUCUAUGCACAAAAGCAGAAGGGAAAUUCUACUGGAGUAUGUGCAAAAUGUACAACCGGAAUUCAUGGAGUUGUUUGUGAAAAAAGCACCACAACAGGUAGUUGAGGCAAUGCGCCAAACAGUGACAAACAUGAUUGGAACAUUACCUCCACAAUUUUUCGCCAUUACUGUAACCACGGUCGCUGAAAAUCUUGCUCAGCUUAUGUAUAGUGUCUUGAUGACUGGAUAUAUGUUUAGGAAUGCUCAAUUUCGGUUAGAACUGCAACAAAGUCUGGAACAGGCUGCCCUUCCUGAAGCACAGGAAGAAAAGGAUUCACCAGAUUAUGCAUCUGGUACCCAGAAAAAGGUGACUGGAGAAGUCAUAAGGUGGAAUAAUGUUACAGGUCCUGAAAAAAUAGACGCGUUGAAGUAUAUCGAGUUACUUGAAGCAGAAGUGGAGGAAUUGAAUCGUCAAAUGGAAAGGAAAUCUGGUAAUGGUUAUAAUGAGCUGUUGGAAUAUCUAAAGACUCUUGAGCCUCAAAAUAUCAAGGAGCUAACCAGUACAGCUGGAGAAGAUGUUGUGCUCGCCAUGAAUUCUUUCAUUAAGCGUCUCUUAGCUGUUUCAGAUCCUAGUCAAAUGAAGACUAGUGUAACAGAGACAAGUGCCCCAGAACUUGCCAAACUUCUUUAUUGGCUCAUGGUGGUUGGUUAUAGCAUCCGGAAUAUUGAAGUCCGCUUUGAUAUGGAACGGGUACUAGGCACUUCUCCAAAGCUCGCUGAGCUGCCUCCUGGUGAAAAUAUUUAGGCAUCUCUGGAAAGUGUCUAAUCUAUAGCAAGCAUUAAAACGUUGAAGCAACAUACAUUUUUCAUGAGCUUUACGAUGGUCAAUAGUAAAAUUUUAUCAAGCUUGUACGACUAUCUGGGAGGACAACAGUGGAAAUUGGUUUUAGUGCAUUUUCUUCACUCACUCCCAGCCCCGCUCCCCCUAUUAUUCUCAGUUUGGGAGCAUCAUUAAGACGCUCAUACAAAGGAAAUGUACUAUAAAUUGAUGCACAAUGUAACUUAUGUGAGUUAAUUUGAUUCAUUGCCCUCUAAAAU
This 1325-nucleotide unclassified non-coding RNA is filed under the name Hevea brasiliensis (rubber tree). Lineage: Eukaryota; Viridiplantae; Streptophyta; Magnoliopsida; Malpighiales; Euphorbiaceae. The record is from RNAcentral.